Molecule: transfer RNA, 77 nt
Filed under: Acinetobacter baumannii
Lineage: Bacteria; Pseudomonadati; Pseudomonadota; Gammaproteobacteria; Moraxellales; Moraxellaceae
Also listed under: 1 other name
Description: tRNA-Met
Rfam family: tRNA
About the family: Transfer RNA (tRNA) molecules are approximately 80 nucleotides in length. Their secondary structure includes four short double-helical elements and three loops (D, anti-codon, and T loops). Further hydrogen bonds mediate the characteristic L-shaped molecular structure. tRNAs have two regions of fundamental functional importance: the anti-codon, which is responsible for specific mRNA codon recognition, and the 3' end, to which the tRNAs corresponding amino acid is attached (by aminoacyl-tRNA synthetases). tRNAs cope with the degeneracy of the genetic code in two manners: having more than one tRNA (with a specific anti-codon) for a particular amino acid; and 'wobble' base-pairing, i.e. permitting non-standard base-pairing at the 3rd anti-codon position.
Source: RNAcentral
GGCGGGAUGGAGCAGUCUGGUAGCUCGUCGGGCUCAUAACCCGAAGGUCGUUGGUUCAAAUCCAGCUCCCGCUACCA